Molecule: ribosomal RNA, 705 nt
Filed under: uncultured Bacteroidales bacterium
Lineage: Bacteria; Pseudomonadati; Bacteroidota; Bacteroidia; Bacteroidales
Description: bacterial SSU rRNA
Rfam family: Bacterial small subunit ribosomal RNA
Source: RNAcentral
GUCGAGGGGCAGCAUGAACUUAGCUUGCUAAGUUUGAUGGCGACCGGCGCACGGGUGAGUAACACGUAUCCAACCUGCCGAUGACUCGGGGAUAGCCUUUCGAAAGAAAGAUUAAUACCCGAUGGCAUAGUUCUUCCGCAUGGUAGAACUAUUAAAGAAUUUCGGUCAUCGAUGGGGAUGCGUUCCAUUAGGUUGUUGGCGGGGUAACGGCCCACCAAGCCUUCGAUGGAUAGGGGUUCUGAGAGGAAGGUCCCCCACAUUGGAACUGAGACACGGUCCAAACUCCUACGGGAGGCAGCAGUGAGGAAUAUUGGUCAAUGGACGAGAGUCUGAACCAGCCAAGUAGCGUGAAGGAUGACUGCCCUAUGGGUUGUAAACUUCUUUUAUACGGGAAUAAAGUGAGGCACGUGUGCCUUUUUGUAUGUACCGUAUGAAUAAGGAUCGGCUAACUCCGUGCCAGCAGCCGCGGUAAUACGGAGGAUCCGAGCGUUAUCCGGAUUUAUUGGGUUUAAAGGGAGCGUAGGCGGACGCUUAAGUCAGUUGUGAAAGUUUGCGGCUCAACCGUAAAAUUGCAGUUGAUACUGGGUGUCUUGAGUACAGUAGAGGCAGGCGGAAUUCGUGGUGUAGCGGUGAAAUGCUUAGAUAUCACGAAGACUCCGAUUGCGAAGGCAGCUUGCUGGACUGUAACUGACGCUGAUGCUCGAA